This 1343-nucleotide ribosomal RNA is filed under the name uncultured bacterium. Its description in RNAcentral is "16S ribosomal RNA". It matches the Rfam family "Bacterial small subunit ribosomal RNA", at positions 28 to 1378 of the family's 1533-position model. The record is from RNAcentral.
GACGAACGCUGGCGGCGUGCUUAACACAUGCAAGUCGAACGGAAAGGCCCUGCUUUUGUGGGGUGCUCGAGUGGCGAACGGGUGAGUAACACGUGAGUAACCUGCCCUUGACUUUGGGAUAACUUCAGGAAACUGGGGCUAAUACCGGAUAGGAGCUCCUGCUGCAUGGUGGGGGUUGGAAAGUUUCGGCGGUUGGGGAUGGACUCGCGGCUUAUCAGCUUGUUGGUGGGGUAGUGGCUUACCAAGGCUUUGACGGGUAGCCGGCCUGAGAGGGUGACCGGCCACAUUGGGACUGAGAUACGGCCCAGACUCCUACGGGUGGCAGCAGUGGGGAAUAUUGCACAAUGGGCGGAAGCCUGAUGCAGCAACGCCGCGUGCGGGAUGACGGCCUUCGGGUUGUAAACCGCUUUCGCCUGUGACGAAGCGUGAGUGACGGUAAUGGGUAAAGAAGCACCGGCUAACUACGUGCCAGCAGCCGCGGUGAUACGUAGGGUGCGAGCGUUGUCCGGAUUUAUUGGGCGUAAAGGGCUCGUAGGUGGUUGAUCGCGUCGGAAGUGUAAUCUUGGGGCUUAACCCUGAGCGUGCUUUCGAUACGGGUUGACUUGAGGAAGGUAGGGGAGAAUGGAAUUCCUGGUGGAGCGGUGGAAUGCGCAGAUAUCAGGAGGAACACCAGUGGCGAAGGCGGUUCUCUGGGCCUUUCCUGACGCUGAGGAGCGAAAGCGUGGGGAGCGAACAGGCUUAGAUACCCUGGUAGUCCACGCUGUAAACGGUGGGUACUAGGUGUGGGGUCCAUUCCACGGGUUCCGUGCCGUAGCUAACGCUUUAAGUACCCCGCCUGGGGAGUACGGCCGCAAGGCUAAAACUCAAAGGAAUUGACGGGGCCCCGCACGAGCGGCGGAGCAUGCGGAUUAAUUCGAUGCAACGCGUAGAACCUUACCUGGGUUUGACAUGGAUCGGGAGUGCUCAGAGAUGGGUGUGCCUCUUUUGGGGUCGGUUCACAGGUGGUGCAUGGCUGUCGUCAGCUCGUGUCGUGAGAUGUUGGGUUAAGUCCCGCAACGAGCGCAACCCUUGUUCACUGUUGCCAGCACGUUAUGGUGGGGACUCAGUGGAGACCGCCGGGGUCAACUCGGAGGAAGGUGGGGAUGACGUCAAGUCAUCAUGCCCCUUAUGUCCAGGGCUUCACGCAUGCUACAAUGGCUGGUACAGAGAGUGGCGAGCCUGUGAGGGUGAGCGAAUCUCGGAAAGCCGGUCUCAGUUCGGAUUGGGGUCUGCAACUCGACCUCAUGAAGUCGGAGUCGCUAGUAAUCGCAGAUCAGCAACGCUGCGGUGAAUACGUUCCCGGG